RNAcentral lists this ribosomal RNA (426 nucleotides) under Boophis elenae. RNAcentral's name for it is "partial 16S ribosomal RNA". It matches the Rfam family "Bacterial large subunit ribosomal RNA", at positions 2007 to 2597 of the family's 2925-position model. Lineage: Eukaryota; Metazoa; Chordata; Amphibia; Anura; Mantellidae. The record is from RNAcentral.
AGGAUCCCACUGUCUCCCCCCUCCAAUCAGUGAAACUGAUCUCUCCGUGAAGAAGCGGGGAUACAAAUAUAAGACGAGAAGACCCCAUGGAGCUUUAAACCCAACAGCACCCGUUUAUUUUCAUCCUCACAUAAGUUAGGUUAUGCCUGUUUGGUUUUAGGUUGGGGUGACCACGGAGUAUAAAACAACCUCCAUGAAAAAAGGACCAAAAAUCCUUAUUAGAGAAAGACAUUUCUAAAAUUAAUAAAUUAAUUUUUAAUGAUCCGAUAUUCGAUCAACGAACCAAGUUACCCUGGGGAUAACAGCGCAAUCCACUUCAAGAGCUCCUAUCGACAAGUGGGUUUUACGACCUCGAUGUUUGGAUCAGGGUAUCCUAGUGGGUGCAGCAGCUACUAACGGUUCGUUUUGUUUCAACGAUUAAACCCU